CCGCGUGGGGGAUGAAUGGCUUCGGCCCGUAAACCCCUGUCAUCUGGGAACAAUGCUCAUCCGAUAACACCGGAUGAGUUGAUAGUACUGGAAGAGGAAGGGACGGCUAACUCUGUGCCAGCAGCCGCGGUAAUACAGAGGUCCCAAGCGUUGUUCGGAUUCACUGGGCGUAAAGGGUGCGUAGGUGGUGAGGUAAGUCGGAUGUGAAAUCUCCGAGCUCAACUCGGAAAUGGCAUUGGAAACUACCUUGCUCGAGGAUUGGAGGGGAGACUGGAAUGCUUGGUGUAGCAGUGAAAUGCGUAGAUAUCAAGCGGAACACCAGUGGCGAAGGCGAGUCUCUGGACAAUUCCUGACACUGAGGCACGAAAGCCAGGGGAGCAAACGGGAUUAGAUACCCCGGUAGUCCUGGCCGUAAACGGUGCACGUUUGCUGUAAAAGGAAUCGACCCCUUUUGUGGCGUAGCCAACGCGAUAAACGUGCCGCCUGGGAAGUACGGUCGCAAGAUUA
RNAcentral lists this ribosomal RNA (507 nucleotides) under uncultured Verrucomicrobiota bacterium. Its description in RNAcentral is "bacterial SSU rRNA". It matches the Rfam family "Bacterial small subunit ribosomal RNA", at positions 397 to 896 of the family's 1533-position model. The record is from RNAcentral. Lineage: Bacteria; Pseudomonadati; Verrucomicrobiota.